Molecule: non-coding RNA, 7591 nt
Organism: Pantherophis guttatus
Lineage: Eukaryota; Metazoa; Chordata; Lepidosauria; Squamata; Colubridae
Source: RefSeq, a predicted model, not a curated record
AGAAAUCCAGGAGGUGCCGGGCAAGGCGGCGCGCGUGCACCCGCGCACGCACACACACACACCGGUCGUGCCGGUGAAGGAAGAGCCGAAGAACGUACACAAAGGGGAGGGCAGCUCGGCGCCGCUCUUAUACCAGCCUCCCCGCUCCGCUCUCCUUGCGCGCCGCUGCCGCCGGUGACUCACGGACGCCUGGGCGGCCUCUGGUUGGCUCGCGAGCGCCUCCAAUCCCAACCGGCUGCCCUAAUUUCCUGAUCCACGCAACCUGCCGCCGCAGCUGGGAGCGUUUCGCCCGGCAACCAGACGCUGCCUUGUUGCCUGCGCUCGAGUCCUCGGCCGAACCAGCGACGCCGACGACGCCCCUCUGGACCAGCUGAUGAGGAUGAGGUGGAGGUUGGUGGCGAGGCACGCAGGUGAGGGGUGUUUGAUCUGCCGCCGCCGCCGCCUGCGCGCUGUUUGCGGCUGUUUCUUGGGGCUGUGCAGGAUGGCACUCGGGGCAUGAUCUUCACUGGUAUGUGCCGCUGGUAUUAAUGUCGGCGGACGUGCCAACGCAGGAGGGGUCCGAAGCGGGUUUCCAGGGAAGCGAUUUCCAACCCGUCUUGUUUUUACUUCCUGGUGAGUAUUGCACAGGAUUGCUGCUACGCAGGAGCGCGAUGCUUCGGGCAUUUUCUCCGAGGAGAAUCUUGGCCACUGCACUAGCGCGUAAUUCUCCCUAAAGAAUGCCAUGGCGAUCCUACUGGGAAUCCGGUAAGUGUUUUCUAUUUUUAAUGGAGGCUUACUUAGAAGGCGGUCUACUUAAAAAGCCUCAGCAAUUGCAUCGUUAAAAUUAAAGGGCAGCUGCUUUUGGUAGUAAAUCUCUUGAAUUCAGCUUAGAUCUGAAAAAUAAGUUCAUAGGAUUGUUCUAUUUUAGACAGGAUAUGGCUUUCACAACUGAGGAGUAAGAUUCUGGAGUUUGGUAAGCCAUUGAUUGUCUCCUAUAGACUUUAGCAAUUCAGGUCCUUAUGGAUUAACCAUGGACCUGAAAUUCAGGAGAAAAUGCUGUGAUGGAAAAUUGCAAAAUUUCCCUCUCCUUUUGGUGGAAUUUUUCAGCUGACUGUUUCUUGCAGACAAGAGAUUGGCACGUGUUUAUCCUGUACUCCAUUAGAUCAUAGAUGAAAUCGACAAAGAACAAGAUGGAACAAGUUGGGCAGAGGAAACAUUUUGGAAAUUAACGGGGAAAUAUUGCAUCAUCUGAGAAAUGUAUAAUAAUUUUUCACUUUGCUUCCUGAAUUCUUACAUCCAACUAUAGAAAGAUGGUGAGGCAUAUAAAUAUAGAAACAGAACCCUAUACAGAAUUUUUCACAUGAAAGAAGCAAAACUGCUAUUAUCUGUUAGAGGAGUUUCACUUAAAAUGAAUUAAGCAAACUCUCAAGGCAAUUCAGGUGACAGUUUUUGGUGGUAAAAAAAUAGUACAGGAGAGGCUAUUUAAUUAACCAUUAAGUUGGGGGGAGAUUGUAACAAAUAUUACUCAAACUCUUAGAUUGAUUAGAGUGUUUAAUAAUUGUUCGAAAGUUCUAAAAUAAAAUGCAUUAUAAUUGUUAAAUUGGUGCGGCAGUUUUCAUUCUGGAUUCUUAUAAGUAUUACACUAGAUUUCAUGAGAGCCAGUUUGGUUUAGUGGUUAAGGCUGCAGGCUAGACGGCAGGAGAUAAUGAGUUCCAGUCAUGCCUUAGCCAUGAAAGCCAACUGGGUGACUUUGGGACUGUCACUCUCGCCUCACAGGGUUGUUGUUGGGAAAAUAGGAGGAAGAAGGUGUGUCAUGUAUAUUUGCUGCUUUGAGAUAUUUGUAAAAAUAAUACAGGAGGAAUACAAAUAAACAUUUGAAAUGUAGCUAUAGUUAACUUAAUCUCAGAUUAUUUAUGUUCCUCUAAUUCUAACAGUCUUUUAUUUCUUAGCAAUAUCUGUCCUCUCAUCCAGACAAGCUGUAAUAUCUUAUUUCAGAUCAGAGCCUGCGUUGGAAGAUUACUGAGACUAGAUUCAUAUCAACGCCCAAGCACAAAACUCACCAGAUCAUUUGCACCAACAAUGUAUUAUUUAUACAAUGCACUCUACUAAAACCCCUGGUUAAUGGACUGCAUCUUUGCCAUAUUACUCUCGCCUCUGUUGUCCAUGGUUUUUCCACCGUUCAGUUUUUUGGAAUGUUACCAGUGGUUGAUCAGGUCACAUGAACUCAAAAUGAUUACUGUUUGUGAUUUGCAACAAUUAAAAUUUAAAACAGUGAUAAAAUCAACAUUGCAGGAAAAACAAUGGUGCUUUGACCUGCUUGGAUAUUUUUCCCCCCCUUCUGUUCAGUUGUGUGUGGUUUUUGGAGACUGCCUGGACACAGGUCCUUGCAGUUUUCUUGGCAAGUUUUUUUUUAGAAGUGGUUUGUCAUUACCUCCUUCCUAUGGCUGGGAGAAACUGACUUGUCCAAGAUCACCCAGCUGGCUUUGAGCCUAAGGUGGGACUAGAACUCACAGUCUCCUGGUAUGUAGCCUGAUGCCUUAAUACCUAUACCAAACUGCCAUUAAUAAAAUAAAUAAUUAUACAGUCAUAUAAAAAAAUGUUUACCUUUUAAAAAAAGUAGCUUUCAGAUUGAAGAGCCUGAACCCAGCAACCUAUAUAGAACUGUAGUUGCAGUAUAACACUAUGAGCAUUGAAUACAUUUCAGUUACGGUAACUUUGCCGUGUCUUCCACCUGAAUAGUUCAGUUUAUGGAGGUCACACUCUGCACAUAUGUCAAGCGGGUUAGAUUGGCGAAAGGCAAAUAAUAUUACUCAAGAGAAGCUUAUAACUUGAAAUACUCUGCUACAAUUAAACACUGAAUGAUUGAAAUUUGUAAUGAUGUCAGUCUUGUUCCCAAGUGGGGAAUCCUGUGUCAUUACAAUGACUGGAAAAUUAUUUCCCACUAAGCAAAAUUGUUUCUAUUUUCAGAAGGUUAAUUAGCAGAUUACUGAUGAGAAAUGACUUAAUAAUAGCAGCUGUUCCAGGCUUGACAUCUCCAGUACUCCCAAUGCGUACUGGAGUCUUUAUCCCUUUUUAUUGGCAAGGAUUUAUGGAACAGAUUCACUGCUUAGCACCAGGGAUGUCACUGAUUGCUAGCCACCAUUAAGAAUGAAGCUACAGUUUUGCCAGCAUUGAAAUAGACACCCCCCUCCCCUCCACCCCAAAAAGGCCGUUCCAUCAUCACCCUCAAACAAUGGAAAUCCAGGAAUUAACAUAAAAAGUUGCAGCAUGGAAGUGUAAAGAUACAAAACUUCCCAACAACUGUUGAAGCUUAUAAAAAGUUCACCCUACAGUCUAAAAAAAAUAGUUUGAUUUAUUUAGGUGUUUCUAGCUCAGCUUCAUAGAAAAAAAGCUGACAAGAUUCUUCAAAUAAAUAAAUAGAAGGAACAGUAAGAAGGAUCCACUGCAGAUAAAAGUAAAAUGUAAACUCAAAAUUGCAGGUAAAAACCAAGAGCACGCUUUAAGAAAUGACCCAACAAGAGUUCUUGAGAUGGUUACCUAAAGCCCUGUAACAAUGGAGUCAACCUGGCCCCAUACAACAGCCAGGUGUGGAAUAGGUCACCUCCAUUAUAUUUGCCAAUCUGCCCUGCUCACAGCAAUAAAUGAAAGGAGGCCAACUUAAAAUCUGGCCAGGUGAUGAUAUUCCUUCAAGUAACUUAGUUCCAACCUAUUUAAGGCUUUGAAGUUUAAAGUCAAGGCUUUGGGAUUGAAAACACUUGGUAAGAAAUAUGGCUAUUACGAUAUUGGUAUCCUAUAAACUGAAUGCCUUGCCUCCAACACCUAAUUGGCCCCACUUUGAACCAGUGGAGUUUCUGAGGUGUCAUUAAAUGAAAGGCCAAUAUACUGUAUAUAUGGAGCAUAUUACAGUCAUCCAGUCUAGGCCUCAACAGUGCCAGGAUGAAAUAAUCAAGGCAAGGUGUAUUCUCUGGAUUUGACUCUGGCUGCCUUUCCUUUGUAAAAUGUUAAAGUAAUCUAGGAGCUGGGAUGAACUGAGGAAGUAUUAAGAGCCACUGACUGAGCCUCUGGAAGCCUCAGGGAGUCUUGAGAGAAGAAGUUUCCCUUUCCUACCCAGGGUGGAUAAAAAUAGAUGAUUUUUUUUAAAAAAAAUUUAAAUCGGAUUUUUAUUUAAAUGUUUUUUUUAUUUUUAUCAAAUUUAUUUUAAUAAAAUUCUUUUGGAGUAAAAAUCUAUCUAAAGAUAGUUUUCUUUUUAAGAUACAUUAAUAAUUUAGUUUAUAAAGCAUGAAAUGGAGUUUAGUUAUGUAGCAUGAGGCUGUAUAUUCUGAAAUAUUUACAUUUUUGGUAAACUCAUUCAAUGAAUCCAAGCUGUGCAAGCCAAAUAGGAAACCUUCAUUUUGUUUGCAAAUAUUAUUAAAGAUUCUAACUACCAGCAAGAAUGAGUCCUUACAUUUAAAGAGCACCUGUCAUUUCAGAUCCAUCAUGGCAGUGCCUGUUAGCGGGCAUCCACUCACCUGCUGCCUGCCAUGUCCCUCACCUUGUUGUGUCACUGCCGCAUCACCAGCUGUCCCAUUAAAGUGAAUGGAACUGUUUGUGAGUCAACAGCGGGUCAGAGGAGCAGUCGCUGUGGGACUGAGAUGACAGUUGUUCUUUAAAAAUUAUGAUUUAAAUUGAGUUGAUUUAAAUCAAGCCUUUUUACUAGUGUGAUUUUAAAUUGUGAUUUAAAUCGAGUCAAUUUAAAUCAAAUCCAUCCUGCUACUAACAUCAAUUGAAACUAGUUUACCAACUUUAGACCUAUCAGGCAGAAGGAUCUGGCCAAGAUGACUGAGAAAAUUUUCUCCCAGUUAGUAUCAAAUAAUAAUAAUGAAGAAGAACCUUGCAGAGUGAUUGGUCCAUUGAGAAUCCUGGUGAAUGGUUCCCUUUGCUUACAAAAUUGACAUGACAUACCCUCUUCUCUUAUGGGAUUGCUGUGUUUGCCUUUUUGAUGUGUGCAUGCCAGAUAAAAGCCAUACAUGUAUGAUAUCCUGGCUGCCAAAGAUGACUUUUAAAGUAUUGAUUUGGGUUUUCCAAGAAGCAUCAUUUCCUGCCAGUUUUUGUGAAGGAAACAGGUGGAUUGCAAAGGCAUUCCUUCCCUCCCUUACUUUCUUCCACCAACAAGGAGAAACUUUCUGCUCAAGAAGCUGCCCAAAGGUAGAGAGCCACACUGCAACAAUCCUCUUCUAAUUCAUCAGGAUUCUCUCCAGAAUUAUCCUACAUUAGCCAUGAAAUAUACAGGCCUCUUUUGAAUCCCAACCCAGCCUCAUAUAAUAAAAGCAACCGUGUUGUUCAUUUAUAUUAACAAUUUAGUUGAAAUAUCCCAUUUUUAAUAUCUAUACUUCUGCAUAAGCUAUAUUUUUGUUCUCUGUCUAUGAUGUCCAUUUACCAUAUACAGAACUGUGGUUACAACAAUACCUCUGAAACUACCUUCCACAUCAGCUCUUUUCAUUUUACCAGGAAUUCACUAGAACAGCAACAGAAGAUGCAACUAUGAGAAUAACUUCAGUAGUCUUGUCCUACUAUAACCAAAUUACAGCAGGUGACAACCAGCUCCCUCCGAGUGGAAAAACAGGCUCUAAUAUUUGCGAGUAAGGUUAAGCCUGCAAAGAACAAGGUAAGGAUGAAAAAUAAACAGAGCAUAUGAUAGGAGAUACAGGAAUUUCAGUCUACUUCUCCUGCUUUACGAAUUAAAGAACUUGUUCUCUUUUAUCAUCUUUGUGUGAGAACAGUUUGUGUGACUCAUGCUUGUCCUUUACAAUUUUUAAAAGUAUUAUCGCAUUCAUUUAAUCAAUUUAUAUUCCGCUUGCUGCAUCUCAAAGAAGCCCGACACAUAGAAAUGUUAAUAAUGAAUCACGGGGAGAAAGAAAAAAAUUCUGCUACAAGAAUAUAAGGUUAAGACAAAGAGAAUUAUGAAUAUAAAGACAAAGAUUAAUGAAUAUUUUUCAGAGUAGAAUUAGCAUAUAAAGCUAGGAAAGGAGACCAAAUUUAAAUGCCCUUCCAAGUCCACAAUUCUGUGGUAGCCCAUUUGUUGUGAUCGUAGCUGACAGAUCCUAGCAUCUGAAAGCACUAUUACAUAUGUUCAUUGCUGUUAUAUAUUUAUGAAGCAAAAGUCUUUAUCUUAUUUUAUAAAUUUAUCUGAUGCCAAAAUAUAGGGCUUAUAUGGCAGAGCAAAAUCCUAGGCAUCAGUUAAAUGGGAAUUCAUCAUUUGGCUUCCUUAAUCAACAAGAAUCAAACUGGAGCAGAUCUAAGCAAUAGAGUCAAUGACAGCAGAAGGCCAAUACAUGCCUCUGCUUUAAGGAAAUGAACCAGUAGAAUAACCAAAAAAGCAGGAAGUGAAACGUAUUUAGCAAGAAUGGGUACACAUCACAUAAAAAGAUAAUGUGGUAUAGUGGUGCAUCUGUACAUUAGAGAAGCUAAAGUACACCAUCUGAAGAAAUAUUUUUUCAGACUCUAGCAAGAUAGAAUGACAGACAAUAGAAGAAAAAGGAAGUGAAAAUGUAAGUUAGAACACUAAGUAAAUUAUUGAGGUUUGACCAGGAACCAAAGUGAUAGGAAUCGCCCAACAGAUUCUUCAGCAGACAGUUGAAUUGCUGGUUAAGGGACGGUUUUAUACUUGUGACUAGAAGGUACGUUGCAAGAGGAGAAGCUGGCAUUUCCAGACUGCUGUGCAAAGCAAAGAUAUUCUGAGGGACACCCAGAUGGCACCGAAAGAGCUGUCCUAUGGUGGGAAUGCUUCAGAAUGUAAUGGUAUUUCCUAUCAAGGAAUGGAAUGGCCAUUUUACAGAUAUCCCCUAUGUUAGCUAGCUAAAUGACGUAAUUAUCGCUUUUUUAAAUGAAUAUGUGGUUUUAAGGGGAGAAAUGAUUUAAUCAAUGGAGAAAGUAGAUAAUUGAGUUGCGUAUUUAUUGCAUCCUGGAGGAAAUGGAUUAUUCGGCUUCUUUUAGUCUGAGUUCAGACUAGGAUAUGGUACUUAGGUAGCACUGGUCUCACUUGUUGAUAGCCUAUGGGGGGACUUGAGAUGGGGCAGUGCAUCCUUGUCUUCCUUGAUUUCUGAGUGAUCUUUGAUACAUCAGUUAUGGCAUUCUUCUGGACCAAACGAGGGGUUUAGAAUAGGAGGCAUAGUGUUUUUCCUCUGGAAUUGGCUCGUCAAUUCCUCUGGACAGGAAUGAGUGUUGGCAGAAAAGUCUAGCCUGGAUCCCUAUUUCUCGAGAUGCUUGAGGGUUCACACUUUUUUCUUAAAACAUCCACAUGAAGUUGAAUCUUCAUGUCUUGAAUCCACAUGCAUUGAAUUAUCAGUUAAUACUUGGUUGUACAUCUUUACCCCUUGCUAACCAAGUGAAGCUAUCAAAACCCAUUUCUAGUGUCUGAAGCAGGAGUUCUUAACAUGGCAAUUUUAAAAUGUCUGGACCUCAACUCCCAGAAUACCCCAGCCAGCUUUGACGGCCUAAAAUGGUGAAGAACUGGCUUCAAGUGCCAGUUGGUCCAGAAGGUGGCAAUGCACUUAGUCAUGGGUGCACGAGGUUGUGACUAUGUAACACCAUUAUUUUAUGAACUUCUAAAAGGCUUUUCAUUGCAACUCAACAU